AUUAGGACGUGCUCGCACUGAAUAAGAUUUUAACACGAAGUGAGUGGCGGACGGGUGAGUAACACGUGGGUAACCUGCCCAGAAGCAGGGGAUAACACCUGUGAAACAGAUGCUAAUACCGUAUAACAGAGAAAACCGCCUGGUUUUCUUUUAAAAGAUGGCUCUGCUAUCACUUCUGGAUGGACCCGCGGCGCAUUAGCUAGUUGGUGAGGUAACGGCUCACCAAGGCGAUGAUGCGUAGCCGACCUGAGAGGGUAAUCGGCCACAUUGGGACUGAGACACGGCCCAGACUCCUACGGGAGGCAGCAGUAGGGAAUCUUCCACAAUGGACGCAAGUCUGAUGGAGCAACGCCGCGUGAGUGAAGAAGGGUUUCGGCUCGUAAAGCUCUGUUGUUAAAGAAGAACGUGGGUGAGAGUAACUGUUCACCCAGUGACGGUAUUUAACCAGAAAGCCACGGCUAACUACGUGCCAGCAGCCGCGGUAAUACGUAGGUGGCAAGCGUUAUCCGGAUUUAUUGGGCGUAAAGCGAGCGCAGGCGGUCUUUUAAGUCUAAUGUGAAAGCCUUCGGCUCAACCGAAGAAGUGCAUUGGAAACUGGGAGACUUGAGUGCAGAAGAGGACAGUGGAACUCCAUGUGUAGCGGUGAAAUGCGUAGAUAUAUGGAAGAACACCAGUGGCGAAGGCGGCUGUCUGGUCUGUAACUGACGCUGAGGCUCGAAAGCAUG
This 725-nucleotide ribosomal RNA is filed under the name uncultured Lactobacillaceae bacterium. RNAcentral describes it as "bacterial SSU rRNA". It matches the Rfam family "Bacterial small subunit ribosomal RNA", at positions 47 to 763 of the family's 1533-position model. Lineage: Bacteria; Bacillati; Bacillota; Bacilli; Lactobacillales; Lactobacillaceae. The record is from RNAcentral.